RNAcentral lists this non-coding RNA (21 nucleotides) under Caenorhabditis elegans. Lineage: Eukaryota; Metazoa; Nematoda; Chromadorea; Rhabditida; Rhabditidae. The record is from RNAcentral.
UAUUCAAUGAUAGUUACAAUU